CAAACGUCGGGAGCAUGGACAUGGCGGCGGCGGCGGGACGCGGCGGGCUCGGGAUCAAACGGUGCCUCGACGCCUCUCCUCUCGGUCUCGCAUCAAAUCAAAUCGAAUUAAGUCCAUGCGCGACAGAGGGUCCCGAUGAGAGCAGACACCUCGGGCAGCCAAAGAGCGCACGGCUGGGGGAGCGCGGAGAAGCGGCGCAGAGCUGAUCCCUCGGCUGGAGGAAGGAUGGCGCCAGAGCGCACGGAGCCUGCCGCAGUACGCCCUCACGUCCCCGGCAGCUCUCACAAAUCAAUCAGGACUUCCACAAAGCCUGGAACUUUAAAAGUGGGAGCGUCAACAAUGUGUUAAGCGAAAAGAGAAAAAAACCCCAGCAGCGUUUACAUUUAAAUGAGCAGAAACACGCGGUUACAAACAAUUUAUUCCAACAACUAAAAAUAAAUUAGGUUGGUUGUCUUGUAUGGCAGGAUUUGUGUUGGUUCAUUUCAAAUGAUUUUAGCUGUCAUUUAAAAUAAAUGAGUACGAAACAGGA
Molecule: long non-coding RNA, 529 nt
Organism: Betta splendens (Siamese fighting fish)
Lineage: Eukaryota; Metazoa; Chordata; Actinopteri; Anabantiformes; Osphronemidae
Exons: 2
Source: RefSeq, a predicted model, not a curated record